Molecule: unclassified non-coding RNA, 345 nt
Filed under: soil metagenome
Description: partial contains 5.8S ribosomal RNA, internal transcribed spacer 2, and large subunit ribosomal RNA
Rfam family: 5.8S ribosomal RNA (bases 1-119)
Source: RNAcentral
GAUGAAGAACGCAGCGAAAUGCGAUACGUAAUGUGAAUUGCAAAUUCAGUGAAUCAUCGAGUCUUUGAACGCACAUUGCGCCCCCUGGUACUCCGGGGGGCAUGCCUGUCCGAGCGUCAUUGCUGCCCUCAAGCACGGCUUGUGUGUUGGGCCCCGUCCUCCGAUCCCGGGGGACGGGCCCGAAAGGCAGCGGCGGCACCGCGUCCGGUCCUCGAGCGUAUGGGGCUUUGUCACCCGCUCUGUAGGCCCGGCCGGCGCUUGCCGAUCAACCCAAAUUUUUAUCCAGGUUGACCUCGGAUCAGGUAGGGAUACCCGCUGAACUUAAGCAUAUCAAUAAGCGGAGGA